GCGGCGUGCUUAACACAUGCAAGUCGAACGGUGAACACGGAGCUUGCUCUGUGGGAUCAGUGGCGAACGGGUGAGUAACACGUGAGCAACCUGCCCCUGACUCUGGGAUAAGCGCUGGAAACGGCGUCUAAUACUGGAUAUGUGACGUGACCGCAUGGUCUGCGUUUGGAAAGAUUUUUCGGUUGGGGAGGGGCUCGCGGCCUAUCAGCUUGUUGGUGAGGUAAUGGCUCACCAAGGCGUCGACGGGUAGCCGGCCUGAGAGGGUGACCGGCCACACUGGGACUGAGACACGGCCCAGACUCCUACGGGAGGCAGCAGUGGGGAAUAUUGCACAAUGGGCGAAAGCCUGAUGCAGCAACGCCGCGUGAGGGAUGACGGCCUUCGGGUUGUAAACCUCUUUUAGCAGGGAAGAAGCGAAAGUGACGGUACCUGCAGAAAAAGCGCCGGCUAACUACGUGCCAGCAGCCGCGGUAAUACGUAGGGCGCAAGCGUUAUCCGGAAUUAUUGGGCGUAAAGAGCUCGUAGGCGGUUUGUCGCGUCUGCUGUGAAAUCCCGAGGCUCAACCUCGGGCCUGCAGUGGGUACGGGCAGACUAGAGUGCGGUAGGGGAGAUUGGAAUUCCUGGUGUAGCGGUGGAAUGCGCAGAUAUCAGGAGGAACACCGAUGGCGAAGGCAGAUCUCUGGGCCGUAACUGACGCUGAGGAGCGAAAGGGUGGGGAGCAAACAGGCUUAGAUACCCUGGUAGUCCACCCCGUAAACGUUGGGAACUAGUUGUGGGGUCCAUUCCACGGAUUCCGUGACGCAGCUAACGCAUUAAGUUCCCCGCCUGGGGAGUACGGCCGCAAGGCUAAAACUCAAAGGAAUUGACGGGGACCCGCACAAGCGGCGGAGCAUGCGGAUUAAUUCGAUGCAACGCGAAGAACCUUACCAAGGCUUGACAUAUACGAGAACGGGCCA
Molecule: ribosomal RNA, 956 nt
Filed under: Microbacterium paraoxydans
Lineage: Bacteria; Bacillati; Actinomycetota; Actinomycetes; Micrococcales; Microbacteriaceae
Description: bacterial SSU rRNA
Rfam family: Bacterial small subunit ribosomal RNA
Source: RNAcentral